UACGUAGGGGGCAAGCGUUAUCCGGAAUUACUGGGUGUAAAGGGAGCGUAGACGGUAAUGCAAGUCUGGAGUGAAAGGCGGGGGCCCAACCCCCGGACUGCUCUGGAAACUGUGAAGCUGGAGUGCAGAAGAGGAGAGUGGAACUCCAUGUGUAGCGGUGAAAUGCGUAGAUAUUAGGAGGAACACCAGUGGCGAAGGCGGCUUACUGGACUGUAACUGACGUUGAGGCUCGAAAGCGUGGGGAGCAAACAGG
This 253-nucleotide ribosomal RNA is filed under the name uncultured Eubacteriales bacterium. RNAcentral describes it as "uncultured Clostridiales bacterium partial 16S ribosomal RNA". It matches the Rfam family "Bacterial small subunit ribosomal RNA", at positions 524 to 776 of the family's 1533-position model. Lineage: Bacteria; Bacillati; Bacillota; Clostridia; Eubacteriales. The record is from RNAcentral.